Molecule: small nuclear RNA, 21 nt
Filed under: Arabidopsis thaliana (thale cress)
Lineage: Eukaryota; Viridiplantae; Streptophyta; Magnoliopsida; Brassicales; Brassicaceae
Description: snRNA_08420
Source: RNAcentral
UUUUAAUGUUGACUAUCUUAA